AACCUUUUUACCACUUAUUAAAUUGUGGGAAUAACCUGUAUAUGCGAAGUACCGUAUACAUGGUGAAAUUCUUCUGUUAUUCCAUUAUUUAUUAUUCUGUUGAAAUAUCCUGUCUGUACGGAUUACGCAUGACCUGGUUCCAUUGUAUUACGCAUGACCUAGUUUCAUUAUUUAUUAUUAUGUUGGAAUAACCUGUCUGUGUGGUCUACCGCAUGCAUGGUGAAUAAUCCUUUGUAUUCCAUUCUUUAUUAUUCUG
Molecule: long non-coding RNA, 256 nt
Filed under: Panax ginseng (ginseng)
Lineage: Eukaryota; Viridiplantae; Streptophyta; Magnoliopsida; Apiales; Araliaceae
Description: long non-coding RNA (PGIN_LNC013893)
Source: RNAcentral